RNAcentral lists this unclassified non-coding RNA (383 nucleotides) under uncultured Pseudomonadota bacterium. Its description in RNAcentral is "uncultured proteobacterium contains 16S-23S intergenic spacer region". The record is from RNAcentral. Lineage: Bacteria; Pseudomonadati; Pseudomonadota.
UCACGUCUUACGACGGCAGUUUCACUAGAGUUCCCAGCGUUACCUGAUGGCAACUAGUGAUGGGGGUUGCGCUCGUUGCGGGACUUAACCCAACACCUCACGGCACGAGCUGACGACAGCCAUGCAGCACCUGUCACCGGUCCAGCCGAACUGAAGGUCUCCAUCUCUGGAGACCGCGACCGGGAUGUCAAGGGCUGGUAAGGUUCUGCGCGUUGUAUCGAAUUAAACCACAUGCUCCACCGCUUGUGCAGGCCCCCGUCAAUUCCUUUGAGUUUUAAUCUUGCGACCGUACUCCCCAGGCGGGGCACUUAAUGCGUUAGCUGCGGCACCCAGGGGGUCAAUACCCCGGACACCUAGUGCCCAUCGUUUACAGCGUGGACUAC